UGCCCAGCAAUUCCUAUCCCUACCUCCACGCGGUACCGGCCGGAAACUAUGAGCAACCUUAGGGAAGAUCGGGUAACCAACCCCGGUGGGAACUUUGGUCGUAGGCUGACAGGGAAGG
Molecule: non-coding RNA, 118 nt
Organism: Aedes albopictus (Asian tiger mosquito)
Lineage: Eukaryota; Metazoa; Arthropoda; Insecta; Diptera; Culicidae
Source: Rfam